UGACCCCAAAAAAUGCUUUAAUUAUUCAUAAAAAAAAAAAAAAUAAUAAAGAUCGGUGGUACAAGAGUAUCCCUCAAACUCAAGGGAGACUUUUGGCAUCACCAUUGAAGUUUUGAAAAUUAGGGCGAAAUCUCGCAGAGGAAAGUAACCGUCUAUUAAUACAUCAUCGGUCCGUUAUUGUAUCAGAAACAUUAAGCACAACCAUAUAAUAAGAGAGUGUGCGCAUACCAGGCCAUAUGUACAAGAGCUGAAGCCAUCUGGUUUUCCAAACAUCACACAGCAAACAAGCAAGCAAAGCAAA
Long non-coding RNA from Cucurbita maxima (winter squash), 301 nucleotides. RefSeq lists it as uncharacterized. NCBI's taxonomy places the organism in Eukaryota, Viridiplantae, Streptophyta, Magnoliopsida, Cucurbitales, Cucurbitaceae. The record is from RefSeq and is a predicted model, not a curated record. The transcript has 2 exons.